Molecule: non-coding RNA, 3701 nt
Organism: Podarcis lilfordi (Lilford's wall lizard)
Lineage: Eukaryota; Metazoa; Chordata; Lepidosauria; Squamata; Lacertidae
Source: the annotation of a GenBank genome assembly
AACCCAGAAAUAGUACCUUGGGUUAAGAACUUUGCUUCAGGAGAACAGAAAUCGCACGGCGGCAGCAGGAGGCCCCAUUAGCUAAAGUGGUACCUCAGGUUAAGAACAGUUUCAGGUUAAGAACGGACCUCCAGAAUGAAUUAAGUUCUUACCUCGAGGUACCACUGUAUAUGGCAUCUGGGAGGUGAGGUAUUUUCUGGUUUCACUGAUUAAAAUUUUUGGGGACCUGGCUAGAUCUUCUUGGCGUUUGGUAUCUUCCACGUGCUGUUUGAUGCUUUUUUUGGCUUGUUCAUACCCCACGUUGAAUAGGAUCUGCGGGGUGAAGCCUAGAGUUGUUAUUAUGUUUAUCAUUGCACGUUUCCAUGUCGUUUGGAAACUGACCUUAAAAGUUAAAGUAGCAAGGAGCAAGGCUUUGGAGACGUGUUUAGGCACUUGUAGGGCUGAUCUUAAGAAUUUAGAUUGUACCAGUACUAAUGGCGCACAAUUGGCAAGGGGACCUAAUUGGGCACCAUAUACAAGCUGCACAAUGGAUUUGGCCUCAAACAGUUUGAGGGCUGAAGGUAUAUAUUGUCCGCCUUUAGUCCUGAGGUACCUGAGCAUUGCAUUUGCGCUUCUCUGGGCAUUCCCUACAACAUAAACCUUGUAGGCAUUUCUACUUUCCGAGGAGUGAAGGGUUAUACCCAAAUAUUUGCAUCAGGUGAGCUGCUCAGUCUUAUGGCCACUGAGCAAUCUUAUGGCAUGAGCAAGGUUUGGGCCUUUUGGCAAAGCACAUGAUCUUGAUUUUCUGAUAAUUUAGUUCUAGUUUGCUCUCCUUGCAGUAUGCUGCCAGUGUUUUCAAGCCUAUAGGAGUUCUUGAGAGGAUUGCUGCGUCAUCAGGUUCAGAGGAAGUGCAGCCUUGUUGGUGUUCCUUGAUCUCCCAGUGACUUUAGACACCACUGACCAUGGUGUCCCUGUGGAAUGACUUGGGGAUGGGGAGUUGGAGGCACCAUUUUACUGUGGCUCUGCUCCUAUUUGCAGGGUCAGUACCAGAAAGGGCUCCCUUGGGAGGAAGGGUGGAAUAGAAACUUCAUACAUAAAAUGCAAAAUAUAUUAAUAUACAAUCUGUGUGCCAGAGUUUCCCAUAUGGCUUGGGUAGUGCUAGUUUCAACCAAGUGUUUGUGGGCAGAACAGCAAGCCAGGCACCUGUUCCUAUGAUUGUGGAACCUCUUCCCUUCCUAUUGGCAACAAAAAUGUUAAAUGCAUUUAUCUGAAGUGCCAUUUCAAGGUACAGUUUUUUGAAACAGGUUUCAAGACCUUCCUACUUGAUUCAAGUUCCAACUUAACCUUAAUUAUUCUUUUAAAAUAAUUGGUAUGUUUAAUGUCCAACCACAAGAUGUUCCCAGAUGAAUGCAUCUUGCUUAUAACCAUGGACAGUCCAUGAGAUAAUUUCAGACUCAUUGGUAGAGUUGCACAAUUUUGCUUCCUGGAUGCAACUAGAGACUGGAGAACAGGGUGACUCAGUGAUUCAUAAUUGAAACCAAUGCUUAAUGAUGUAAUCCAGAGGCCAUGGCUGCAGCCAUCUAUGAAGCUAUUCAUAACAAGAAUAAAACUACUGAUCCAAGUGUUUAACAGAGUAUCUCUGAAUGAGCAACAUGCUGUAAUUCAGUGAUGUCACAUUCUGCUUGCAUCAUUGCUUUCUACAAACAGAAUGUGCAACACCCUAAAAAAAAAUGCUGUUAAAAUUUUGUCAUUGGAGUCUGACAAUCAUUCUUUAUUGUCUACCACACAACUGUGGGCUGAGAGCCUAUGAGAGGUUGCAAAAUACGUGCAUGGAGUAAUGAAUGUUGGGAUUCUUGGUAUGAUCUCUAACUGUUGAGAGAGGUAACAUCUCAGAGAUCCCCUUUGAGACCCUGACUGAGAACUCUGGAAGUGGCAGAUGGGAGAAAGAGCUGCUCCAUUCCUGUCCUUUGGGUCAUUGCCUCUAGAGUAUGAAAAUAUAACAAAUAGGACCAAAUCCCACCAAGAAACUAAACAAAGUAACAAAUGCAGGGAGGACAGGGAGGGGAAGAAAAUGAAUAUUAGCCAGUCAACAGGUGCAAGAAAAAUCGAAUUUAUUAAGCUUAAACUUCCCCAACAUCUCAGCAAUCCUGAGUUCCUGAAAGAAUGCCUUUCCUCACAUUUACCAGCCUGUGUAUUGAGAACAUAUAGUUCAGUAUGAUUUGCAGGAGUUUCUCAAAAAAAUAUUCCAGAAAUACAAGAAGUCUGCUCUACAGUAACUUGGAGCAUGGCUUUCAGUAUGUCUUCCCCUGUUCUGUGGAAUGGCAUUGUGGCAGAGACAUGAAAGGCACCCAGAAUCUGUACCUUCCAGAAAUAACUGAAUACGUUUUUGUUUUGACGAGCAUUUCCAUCUGGAUAAAAAAGCCUGUCUUAGGUUUAAGAACAAUACAAAAUUAACCCCUAUCUUCAGUUGUUUUUGUGCAGUCUUUAAAAUGAUUUUAACUGGGGGGGGGGGUUAUGGUGUGUCAAUAAAUCACCUUGAAAUGUAUGUAGGUGAUUCAUAAAUUGUUAUUAAUAGCAAGAACUCAUCAAAAGCCUUCUUCUGGGUGCAACUGCAUUCCAAAGUAAGGCAGAUGGUGACAAGGAACAGGACCCUUUAGGCUGUGGCACUAUCUUUCUUCCAGAAUUAGAUGGCAUGCUCCUUAGAGGCAGGAAUCACUAUAUGUUUUUGUCUAUACAAGGUUAUGUAUUGGUAAGUUUAUUUUCGUUUAAUUUGAACUAUUUCAGUGUUUCAAAUUAUUGAGCAAUGGUUGAACUUCUAGAUGGUCCCACUCCUAAAAGACCUGUACUUUGUCAGCUGUAUUGGCUGGAAGUCUGUUUCAAGGCCCAAUUUAAAGGGCUGGCUUUAAACCUUAAAAACCUGAAUUGCUUGGGUACCUAAAAGGACACUUUUACCUAUAUGCAUUCACUUGAACCUUAAGAUCAUCUUUAGAGACCCAGCUCUUAGUUCCCCCCACUAAAUGAAGUGAGGUAGAGAGCCACCUUUUUGGUACUAGCACAUUAUGGAACAACCUUCCUGUUCCAUACACCUCUUUGUGCUAGGUGCAGCUCCCAAAUAACUUGCAUCUUAUGGCCUGAUCCUGAUUUUUUUUUAAAUAGAAAAACACCUUUUCUAAUUGCUUUUAUUAUUGUACAUUUUAAUUAUUUGUGAGCCACCCAGUUAAUAAACGUUAAACGUUAAAACGUUAAACGUUAAAAAAAUAUUCUGAACAUGAUGGGCAGGGGUGCUCAUUAUCCAAAUCAGCCAGGUGGGCCCUAUGGACAGGCAAAUGGAUUUGUGUGGUAGGGUGUGAGAAGAAGGCCCGAGGGAUAACUAUCCAAAAUACUCUGCAUGUUUUUCUUCAGAUCUGUCUAUUCUCAUGUGCAGCAGGGAGAUACAAGCCAAUGUAGUAAAAUCUCCACAUACUUGACAACAUGGCUGCUUUCAGGUUGGUCCGCAGAUUACAGAAUACGCUUUUUAGAAGAGGAACUGAUUUUUAUUUUUUUAAAUGGAACACUAGCCUAGCAGAGUUUACUGAGACAAACUGGAAGUCUGUACAACUCACUGUUGGGUGAAAUAAAGUUAAAAAACACAACAACACUGAAGGUUUAUCAUACUGGUUCACACCAUCAAAAAGACUCUUCCUUUUUAAAAAAAUAACUAGGAAUAGAAACUUAAAACUCAU